GUCAUUAGGAUUUACUCUGCUCAUUAAUAUAGGUAUGUAUGAUGACCUGUAUUUUAUGUCCAUACUAUGUAAUUAUUAUGUGUAGUAUGUGUCAUUUGAAAAACUUUUAUGAUCCAUUGAUUUCAUAAUCUGUUACAACCUGUAUGUGACAAAUAAUGCUCUAGGCUGCAUAAGAAAUUAACCUUCUGCAGGCUUCUCUCUGGGUUAACAGGCUUAUAAGUGGUUUAUUAAACAAUGU
RNAcentral lists this long non-coding RNA (238 nucleotides) under Bos taurus (domestic cattle). RNAcentral describes it as "long non-coding RNA NONBTAT008959". Lineage: Eukaryota; Metazoa; Chordata; Mammalia; Artiodactyla; Bovidae. The record is from RNAcentral.